Long non-coding RNA from Acanthopagrus latus (yellowfin seabream), 2361 nucleotides. RefSeq lists it as uncharacterized. Lineage: Eukaryota; Metazoa; Chordata; Actinopteri; Spariformes; Sparidae. The record is from RefSeq and is a predicted model, not a curated record. The transcript is spliced from 4 exons.
GUGAAUUUACAGCUUAUUUCAUUCUUUAUUAUCUAAAGUCACUUCUGCUUCUAAUUUAUUAUCAGUGAAACACUUCUUGCUGAUUUUUCACAAUAAAAGACUACAAUCACAGGAAGGGUUCAUCACAUGUAUCCUUCCCCUCAGCAUCCUCCAGCCCAGCUGAUCAGAGCACGUGGAGCAGGUUUCUUUUAGGGGACUUCAAGGUUUUUGUGAAAAUGGUGCAGUCCUUGGAGGGACGGGAUUAAAUCCUCGUAAGAAACUUUUAAACUUUGCAGCACGAGUCUCGAGGCCUUUUCCUGCAGUCUAAGAUGAUACAAAGAGAACUGAUGAGACACUUCUUGCGUUCCUGUAACAGAUUGUGGUGCUCGUACUUCAGCUGAGACAGACGGCUUCAUUACUGUUGUUGUCUUGUGUCAGUUGUAAAGUUACUACAGCACCAGAGAAGCUAACACAACUCUAAUAACUCUGCUCUGGAACCAGCCCGUCCAGCAGGAGCCUGACUGUGUUCCCCUCGCCUUAACAAACCUCUGAGUGCUCCAGUUCUUCCUCUCUAAAACACAAAGAACAGCUUAUCUGAAGCACCGACCAGCUCCCGGCGGACGCUCAUUUACGAGGCAGAGUUUCCUCUCUGAUCCUUCUGGUGCAGCGAUAAAAAUAAAACCAGCCAAGGUCACAGACGGUCGGUUUGGCUCAUCAGCUCCUCUCGAGGUCGCUCAUCAUCAUCGGAGGUCGAGACCGCGAGAAGUCCUGAAGCUGUCGGUGUGUUAAUCUUCCAAGGCUUCAGCUCACGAACAGAGAAGGUUACGAGUGACUGUGGAGGAACAAACGAACACUGAGAGACACAGAAACAGAUCGACACCAUCAACACAACGCUCGGCAAUAAAAGAUGACGUGAGUCUUUAUCGACACUCUGCCCGUCUGCUCUCUGUGGCCCAGAGACACUGAAGGAGUCGGUGAGUUUAAAGAGGAAAGUCGUCUGGAAGUCUGCUCAACACCAUCGCCUUCACCGCGGAGUGACAGUAAUUGUCAGCUCGCCGCCCCGUUCAGCUCGGCAGCCAUUCAUCCCACAACGCCAUUCAUCAACCAGGCCAAUCAAACGCGCCUCGCCCCGUGACAUCAUAAGUGGGUCGCCCUCCCGGAUGAUUGCGGUUGCUAUGCCAACCAAAGGAAGUUACAAUUACGUGUGUGCGUGUGUGUUUUAGUGACGGUCUAACUGAGAUCAGUCGUGUGUGGAUGAAGUCUGUCAGCGACACACUGACAACAAGAAGCCGCUUUAAUGUUCAGUUUUAACGUCCUUCUGUUGUUAAAACGCCUGAAAUCAAGCCAGUGAAAAGCAACAUGAUUCUUACUGUCAUGUUUUUAUUUCUGUCCUUGUACUUUAUUCAUGGACUGUUUCUGUGUCCUUGUUUGUGAUAUUUACAUUUCAGAUUUUGAUGUUUCAUGUGGCAGAAAAGCAUCAACCCACCAGCAUGUCACACAACAUGUCACACAACAGAACAACUCGGCAUGUUUCACUUUCUGAAAUGUGUUAUCAGAAAAUGUUUUCUGAUAUUUCUUUUCUUUUCUGAGUUGUCAUUGUGGUUCCAGAGGUGCCACUGUAAUAUUCUACAUUGCUGCAAACAGUGAGAGGUUAUUAUAACCUGAGGGAAUAACAAAUAAAAAAGACACGUUUCACUAUGUGUUAAAGGGUUUGACCCAUAGAAACACAGUCUCUGCUCCGUCAUAGUUUCAUCUUACAGAUUCUAUAAACACGACAGCGACGGUCAGAUUCAUAAACUCAUUCUGGACAUCUGACGUCCAAAGUCCUGCAGCUGAAAGACGCCUGAAGAACACCCGAGAUGUGACAACAGACAAACAAUUAACACUGAGCGAAAGAGCAUCCAUCACUUCCUGACAGGCUGACAGCGCCAACACAGCUCGUCCUGAUUGGAUCAGUCGUGGAGGGAAAAGAAGAAGCAAACGUCGUCCUGCUGAAGUUCAGAAGCAGCAGAGCGAAAAACACGACGCACAGAAAAACUCUCCAGCUGCUGAUGGAGUGACUUCUCACACAGAGAGGAAACUGCUAACAUGUACGGCCGACUGAGAAUAAAUCCUGAUACUAAAAUAUACAAAUAUGAAUAUGUUUAGCAUCCAGACUGUCUGCUGACAUUAUCAGUGUUGUUGUUAUAAAACCACAUAAUGAAUUUAAACAGAAAAUCAGGACGUGUGUGUUUCGUCUUCAGUGACCUGCUGCUGCCUCUCAGACUGACUCUGCACACAGAUAAACUGAUUACCAGGAGGCCACAUCAGUCUGUCUGCCUGUCUGUCUGUCUGUCUGUCUGUCAGCCUGUCUGUCAGCCUGUCUGUCAGCCUGUCUGUCUG